RNAcentral lists this ribosomal RNA (606 nucleotides) under uncultured bacterium. RNAcentral's name for it is "bacterial SSU rRNA". It matches the Rfam family "Bacterial small subunit ribosomal RNA", at positions 62 to 681 of the family's 1533-position model. The record is from RNAcentral.
CUGGAAGGAGUUUUCGGACAACGGAAGGUGAGGACAGUGGCGGACGGGUGAGUAACGCGUGAGGAACCUGCCUUUCAGAGGGGGACAACAGUUGGAAACGACUGCUAAUACCGCAUGACACAUAGAGAUCGCAUGGUUUUUAUGUCAAAGAUUUACCGCUGAAAGAUGGCCUCGCGUCUGAUUAGCUAGUUGGUGAGGUAACGGCCCACCAAGGCGACGAUCAGUAGCCGGACUGAGAGGUUGACCGGCCACAUUGGGACUGAGGUACGGCCCAGACUCCUACGGGAGGCAGCAGUGGGGAAUAUUGGGCAAUGGGCGCAAGCCUGACCCAGCAACGCCGCGUGAAGGAAGAAGGCUUUCGGGUUGUAAACUUCUUUUGUCGGGGACGAGUAGAAGACGGUACCUGGCGAAUAAGCCACGGCUAACUACGUGCCAGCAGCCGCGGUAAUACGUAGGUGGCAAGCGUUGUCCGGAUUUACUGGGUGUAAAGGGCGUGUAGCCGGGAAGGCAAGUCAGAUGUGAAAUCCACGGGCUUAACUCGUGAACUGCAUUUGAAACUACUUUUCUUGAGUAUCGGAGAGGCAAUCGGAAUUCCUAGUGUAGCGG